RNAcentral lists this ribosomal RNA (391 nucleotides) under uncultured bacterium. RNAcentral's name for it is "bacterial SSU rRNA". It matches the Rfam family "Bacterial small subunit ribosomal RNA", at positions 28 to 420 of the family's 1533-position model. The record is from RNAcentral.
GACGAACGCUGGCGGCGUGCUUAACACAUGCAAGUCGAGCGGUAAGGCCCUUUCGGGGGUACACGAGCGGCGAACGGGUGAGUAACACGUGGGUGACCUGCCCUCAGCUCUGGGAUAAGCCCGGGAAACUGGGUCUAAUACCGGAUAUGACUCCAUGACGCAUGUUGUGGGGUGGAAAGCCUUGUGCGGCUAGGGAUGGGCCCGCGGCCUAUCAGCUUGUUGGUGGGGUGAUGGCCUACCAAGGCGACGACGGGUAGCCGGCCUGAGAGGGCGACCGGCCACACUGGGACUGAGACACGGCCCAGACUCCUACGGGAGGCAGCAGUGGGGAAUCUUGCGCAAUGGGCGAAAGCCUGACGCAGCGACGCCGCGUGAGGGAUGACGGCCUCGG